Long non-coding RNA from Magnolia sinica, 1739 nucleotides. RefSeq lists it as uncharacterized. The transcript is spliced from 2 exons. NCBI's taxonomy places the organism in Eukaryota, Viridiplantae, Streptophyta, Magnoliopsida, Magnoliales, Magnoliaceae. The record is from RefSeq and is a predicted model, not a curated record.
GUGGGGCCGGCAUUUUUUUACGGUGCUUGAGAUUGUCAUGGUUGUUUUAAGGUUGGGGAUGAAAAUGGAAGGGAGGUUUAGAUCCAGUACCACUGGAUGGCUGUUCUUCUUGCAGAAUGUUGGCUUAUUGGUUAAACCGCUAAGGGCAGCAUCGUUUUAGCCCAUUGAACAAAGGAAUUAAAUGUUGUUCCCAAUGCUCAUAUCAUAAGUAAGCCCUGGAUUUGCUGCUCUGCUGGGGUUUACAAGACCACUGCUGAUGUCAAAAGGGUCUGCUGGGUUGCAAGUACCAUCCUCUGCCACUGUCAUCUUCCCAUCUUUGCCAGAUCGAGAGGCUGCAUUUUGUAAGAACAUCAAUUUGAAAGAGGUAGAAUAGUGCACUUUGAGAAAACGUAAUCCAAGUAACUGUUACUCACCGGUGGUGAUGAUUGCUGAUUUUAGUGCUGCAGAGAUCAAUCUUUGUUGAUGCAUUUCAUAAGGGUAGCUAUUUCUGCCACAUGCAGACAAGCCAUUGAGGUACGUGAUAGCAUGACAAACUCAUCACUGUUCUUCGGAUCGUUGGAUGGUGGAUAUGCAGCUAAGAUGUUGACACCAGGUGCAGAUAUGUCAGGCUGCCAGAGACAUUCAUCAAUAAUAUGAAAAGCAACAGGAAGACCAGAGAAAAUCCAAUGAAAUUUUGAGCAACAAAAAGAAAAUGAAUAGUCGAGGCUUGGAGAUGGACCAUACCUUUAACAUGGCAGGAGACAAGGAACAAGGCCCUCUGGAAGAGAAAAUGCCACUUUCCCAGAGACAGUCUUUGCACUGCCCAACUACACGACUGGUGACCUACUGAAGGAAGAACAGUUAUUAUGCAUUUCCACACACACGUCGCCUAAUCCUAUGGUACCAUCUCAGAAUCUGCUUACUUCGGCUGUUUGAUGGUGGACAAAACCUCUGUUUUAUCUUGUAAUUUACUCUAAUACAGGCGAUAAUUUUACAUGCUUCUAGCAUAUUAUCUUGACCACACACGAGGAUGACACCAACUCGAUGUGCGAUGUGUGAUGUGCACAUACAAAGUUGCUUCAUAAGAUGGUGAGAAACAGAGGAUGACCUUCCCCGCCACUAAUGUGGCAUUAAGAGUUCCAGUUCUGCAACUCUUGCUGCUGACCAAGUGGCCUCAACAACUUACUCAGCAAGGUUACAUAAACCGGAAAGUAGGGAAAAUCAUCUUCAGAGAAAGGUCUACCUAUCCGCAUUUGAUACACUCCGAUGGCACUGUCAUCUGCUUGUACAAGUCCUUAGUCACAUUCAUCCAUCUUGGUGUCCAAUGACUGACCCUGCACAAACAUGGGGCGAAGGGAGCAUGCUUGCUAGACAUCCAUGUUACUUGAUUGAACUGGAGAAAUGAUAAGGAGAUUCAUGCAAAUAUGACAAGUGUUGUGUGCAGGAUUCGUGUACUCCGAGAACUGCGAGUCAUUAUGUGUGGCCCACAAUGAUGCCUUGUUCCAGGAAUUAGACUGGUCUACUCAUCAAGUGGGUAGCUUGUGCUGCUGUGCACGGUGAAGAUGUACCCAUUUGACCAUUUUUUUUUUUUUUUAUAUUCUAACUGCUCAGAUUUCUCAUACAUGCACGUGCCACCUGAUGAGUGGACCAGCUGAAUCUUUUGGGCCAGGGAAUGUUCACAGUGGGCCCACCUGAUUUUCAGGUGUCAUUCAUGUGUAGCGUGAAGAAAGCCAAUGCAAGGAUCUCCAUAGUAUUUGUCA